This 228-nucleotide ribosomal RNA is filed under the name Urtica sp. U19. RNAcentral's name for it is "5.8S ribosomal RNA". The stretch from base 69 to 224 matches the Rfam family "5.8S ribosomal RNA". From Rfam's summary of the family: 5.8S ribosomal RNA (5.8S rRNA) is a component of the large subunit of the eukaryotic ribosome. It is transcribed by RNA polymerase I as part of the 45S precursor that also contains 18S and 28S rRNA. Lineage: Eukaryota; Viridiplantae; Streptophyta; Magnoliopsida; Rosales; Urticaceae. The record is from RNAcentral.
CAAAACGAAUUUGUCUCCUUCCUCGGUGCUUUGCAUCGUGUGAGCGAGCGUAUUCAAUAAGUCAUAACGACUCUCGGCAACGGAUAUCUCGGCUCUCGCAUCGAUGAAGAACGUAGCAAAAUGCGAUACGUAGUGUGAAUUGCAGGAUCCCGUGAACCAUCGAGUUUUUGAACGCAAGUUGCGCCCGAAGCCUUUAGGCCGAGGGCACGCCUGCCUGGGCGUCACGCA